Gallus gallus (chicken) is the source of this 683-nucleotide long non-coding RNA. Lineage: Eukaryota; Metazoa; Chordata; Aves; Galliformes; Phasianidae. The record is from Ensembl.
CCACACCCCGCUGCCCAUGCUGCGGGCACCCCAAAGCGCGGCCACAUCGCAGCGAAGCAGAGGGGACCUCGACUUUUCCCUCUAUUUGUUUCGCAGCUGUGCAGCUCCAAGGGAAAUCACACGGCCGUGCUUUUCUCAUUAAGCGCCGUCACAUUUUCCAGACAGAAGCUCAGAGCCCAGUGCUGUAAAACUGGGAUUUUUUUCCUCCUUUUUCAGCUGCAGAUGCUUAAAGAUCCCUGGCUGAAGGAUCCUUCCCGGCCCCACUGAUGUGUCCCCUCAGUGGGGCUCUGACCCAGGGCUGAGCAGGAGGAAGCCCCCGUUGCAGAACCCGGGUGCACUGUGGACAACAUGGAGAAAACCCAUUCACUCAUACACCGAGUGCCCCAUGCUUUGGCUGGAAUGGUGUUCCCGUGCACCAGGAGCAGGUGAGCAGCUCGGCCAGGCCAGGGCGGCUGUAGGGUGCAUCACACAGACACCCCCUGCAGGAGGAGACGUCCCAACUCCCAGCACUCCCAGUGCUCCCGGUGUGCUGCUGCCUGCAUCUGCUCCGGGGCAUCGCCUUCCCCACGCUGCCAGCCUGCAGCAAAAUGGCAUUUCAGAGCGUCGUGGCAAAACGGCAUCCCGACAUCAUACAACCACACAACCGUAUCACUUCUUGGCAUUAAAACCAGAGCACCCCAAGG